UACGUAGGGGGCAAGCGUUGUCCGGAUUUAUUGGGCGUAAAGAGCGUGUAGGCGGCCUGACAGGUCUGCUGUGAAAACUCGAGGCUCAACCUCGAGAUGUCGGCGGAAACCGUCUGGCUAGAGUCCGGAAGAGGAGAGUGGAAUUCCCGGUGUAGCGGUGAAAUGCGCAGAUAUCGGGAAGAACACCCGUGGCGAAGGCGGCUCUCUGGGACGGUACUGACGCUGAGACGCGAAAGCGUGGGGGAGCGAACAGG
This 254-nucleotide ribosomal RNA is filed under the name uncultured bacterium. RNAcentral's name for it is "partial 16S ribosomal RNA". It matches the Rfam family "Bacterial small subunit ribosomal RNA", at positions 524 to 776 of the family's 1533-position model. The record is from RNAcentral.